Molecule: ribosomal RNA, 465 nt
Filed under: Vreelandella stevensii
Lineage: Bacteria; Pseudomonadati; Pseudomonadota; Gammaproteobacteria; Oceanospirillales; Halomonadaceae
Description: partial 16S ribosomal RNA
Rfam family: Bacterial small subunit ribosomal RNA
Source: RNAcentral
CCUACGGGGGGCAGCAGUGGGGAAUAGUGGACAAUGGGGGCAACCCUGAUCCAGCCAUGCCGCGUGUGUGAAGAAGGCCCUCGGGUUGUAAAGCACUUUCAGUGAGGAAGAACGCCUGGUGGUUAAUACCCAUCAGGAAAGACAUCACUCACAGAAGAAGCACCGGCUAACUCCGUGCCAGCAGCCGCGGUAAUACGGAGGGUGCGAGCGUUAAUCGGAAUUACUGGGCGUAAAGCGCGCGUAGGUGGCUUGAUAAGCCGGUUGUGAAAGCCCCGGGCUCAACCUGGGAACGGCAUCCGGAACUGUCAAGCUAGAGUGCAGGAGAGGAAGGUAGAAUUCCCGGUGUAGCGGUGAAAUGCGUAGAGAUCGGGAGGAAUACCAGUGGCGAAGGCGGCCUUCUGGACUGACACUGACACUGAGGUGCGAAAGCGUGGGUAGCAAACAGGAUUAGAUACCCCUGUAGUC